RNAcentral lists this long non-coding RNA (200 nucleotides) under Elaeis guineensis (African oil palm). Its description in RNAcentral is "long non-coding RNA (EGUI_LNC045907)". The record is from RNAcentral. Lineage: Eukaryota; Viridiplantae; Streptophyta; Magnoliopsida; Arecales; Arecaceae.
AAACAAAAAAGACUAAUUCGUUUAAGUAAACCUGAUUCAGGAUGAGGUAAACCUAGGGGAAGAAGAUUUUGACUAUAAUCUCUGGUCAAAUCAAGAAUUUGAAAUAGCUUAUGAAAUUUCUCUAUCUAGUGAUCAAAAAGUUCAUCCACAAUGGCAACCACUUAUCGAACCACUUGUAAGGAUGAAUGAACCAAUACACA